AUUGAACGCUGGCGGCAGGCCUAACACAUGCAAGUCGAACGGUAACAGGAAACAGCUUGCUGUUUCGCUGACGAGUGGCGGACGGGUGAGUAAUGUCUGGGAAACUGCCUGAUGGAGGGGGAUAACUACUGGAAACGGUAGCUAAUACCGCAUAACGUCGCAAGACCAAAGAGGGGGACCUUCGGGCCUCUUGCCAUCGGAUGUGCCCAGAUGGGAUUUAGCUAGUAGGUGGGGUAACGGCUCACCUAGGCGACGAUCCCUAGCUGGUCUGAGAGGAUGACCAGCCACACUGGAACGGAGACACGGUCCAGACUCCGACGGGAGGCAGCAGUGGGGAAUAUUGCACAAUGGGCGCGAGCCUGAUGCAGCCAUGCCGCGUGUAUGAAGAAGGCCUUCGGGUUGUAAAGUACUUUCAGCGGGGAGGAAGGGAGUAAAGUUAAUACCUUUGCUCAUUGACGUUACCCGCAGAAGAAGCACCGGCUAACUCCGUGCCAGCCGCCGCGGUAA
Molecule: ribosomal RNA, 507 nt
Filed under: uncultured bacterium
Lineage: Bacteria
Description: partial 16S ribosomal RNA
Rfam family: Bacterial small subunit ribosomal RNA
Source: RNAcentral